Molecule: ribosomal RNA, 451 nt
Filed under: uncultured bacterium
Lineage: Bacteria
Description: partial 16S ribosomal RNA
Rfam family: Bacterial small subunit ribosomal RNA
Source: RNAcentral
AACGAACGCUGGCGGCAGGCUUAACACAUGCAAGUCGAACGCGUGUAGCAAUACACGAGUGGCGCACGGGUGAGUAACGCGUGGAUAUCUGCCUUUUGGUUCGGAAUAACCCCGGGAAACUGGGGCUAAUACCGGAUGGUUCCUUCGGGAUAAAGAUUUAUCGCCAAAAGAUGAGUCCGCGUACGAUUAGCUAGUUGGUGAGGUAAUGGCUCACCAAGGCGACGAUCGUUAGCUGGUCUGAGAGGACGAUCAGCCACACUGGGACUGAGACACGGCCCAGACUCCUACGGGAGGCAGCAGUGGGGAAUAUUGGACAAUGGGGGCAACCCUGAUCCAGCCAUGCCGCGUGAGUGAUGAAGGCCUUCGGGUUGUAAAGCUCUUUUGGCGGGGACGAUGAUGACGGUACCCGCAGAAUAGGCCCCGGCAAACUUCGUGCCAGCCGCCGCUGUAA